RNAcentral lists this unclassified non-coding RNA (355 nucleotides) under soil metagenome. RNAcentral describes it as "partial contains 5.8S ribosomal RNA, internal transcribed spacer 2, and large subunit ribosomal RNA". The stretch from base 1 to 120 matches the Rfam family "5.8S ribosomal RNA", at positions 35 to 154 of the family's 154-position model. The record is from RNAcentral.
GAUGAAGAACGCAGCGAAAUGCGAUAAGUAAUGUGAAUUGCAGAAUUCAGUGAAUCAUCGAGUCUUUGAACGCACAUUGCGCCCCCUGGUAUUCCGGGGGGCAUGCCUGUCCGAGCGUCAUUGCUGCCCUCAAGCACGGCUUGUGUGUUGGGCCUCCGUCCUCCUCCCGGGGGACGGGCCCGAAAGGCAGCGGCGGCACCGCGUCCGGUCCUCGAGCGUAUGGGGCUUCGUCACCCGCUCUUGUAGGCCCGGCCGGCUCCAGCCCAUCAACCAUCGAGGACCCGUUCCUCAACCAGGUUGACCUCGGAUCAGGUAGGGAUACCCGCUGAACUUAAGCAUAUCAAUAAGCGGAGGA